Vidua chalybeata is the source of this 1909-nucleotide long non-coding RNA. RefSeq lists it as uncharacterized. The record is from RefSeq and is a predicted model, not a curated record. NCBI's taxonomy places the organism in Eukaryota, Metazoa, Chordata, Aves, Passeriformes, Viduidae. The transcript is spliced from 3 exons.
CUGUAUUUAUGGUUGAAAGGAGAUUUCUUAUUCCUGUGAAAUAUAUCAUUAAAGCACUAGGAACAUUAGCAAAUCAGCACUUUCUGAGUUUUCCACUAGUGAUCAGUUCAGAUCUGGUUAUCUUGUAUGUGAAGUGAAUUUGGUGCUUUUAACCCUAGAGCAGAAAACUUCCAUUGUCAUUGAUAUGUUAGUUUCUUGUGAGCCUUAAAUUAUUAAAUAUUGUAGAUAUACUUCUUUAUAAAUAAUUUUAUUAGUUACCUUCCUGUUUCAGAAUUUCUGAGUAACUCAGUCAUGUGCUUACUGGCCCCACUCAAAAAAGUAUGUGCAGCUUUUUGCUUCUUUUUUUUUUUUUUUUUUUUUUGUGUGGUUUUACAGUUUUAUAUCUUUGUUAUAUUUUUGAGACCUAAAGGAAAAAAAUACACUGUCUGCUGUUACUGGUUUCAAUCCAGUGCACAAUGGAUCGAAAGUGAUCUGAACAGAUUUUCAAGUGCACAACAGAUCAAAAACAUGAGGGAGCAGAUAGGCACAAUAAGAAAGGAGAAUAUUGAGUGCAAUAUCUGCAGAACUGUUUUCAUUGUACGCUCCAGGUUCCUUGAGCGUGUGUAUCAGUCACCUUUAUGCAUGCACACACCAUUUGUGCACACAGUUCUCUGGUUUUAGUUCUCUCAGACCGGGAGUGGAUGGCAAUUCAGGAGUCGGACGUGGCGUGCUGUGCUGCUUCAACAACCAUCGCCUGGCUUUUCUCUUGGACAUGUGUGGGAAGCACCAUCUUUUCAUCAAAACACACCCCUGGUUUCUUCAAUUUCCAAACAAAACCUCAGCGCUGUGGAUUUUACAGUUGAGGUGUUGUUGAGAGACGAGUGACACAUUGGCUUCAUCAGGAUCACAGAUAACUCUGAAGACCGACACAAAUUUGCUCCUUUAGCUCAAAGAGCUUUCUUACAAUUUCUCUUGCAAAGGACAUCUCUGUUUCCCCCUCCAGCUUCUGUUGUAUUGCUGAAGGAUUUCCAUGCCUUUCCCACAUCCUGUGGCACAGCAAGUGUAGCAGAGAAGAGAAGGCUUAAUUGUCAACAUCGCUCAAGAGCAACCUGGAGCUCAAGCAGGAGUGGUGUUCUCCAGACAGCUCUCCACGGCUUCCCUAGCACACCAGUGAGCCACGAGACCGAGGCAGAAAUUCCAGUGUGGGGAGAGUGUGAGUCAUGAGAUGCUUUUUGCAUGACACUCUCCUGAUUGCCUUCCUCCUGCAAGCACUGACCAUUAGGAAAACACUGCUGCAGAGUCUGAAACAAACCAGCCUAUUCCUUGUUCUCAAGUCAUCUUGGGUUGGAAGCUGCUGAAAAACUUCCUUCUGGAUAAAUAACUGUGAUGUCCCCUUCAUCCCCAGAAUUGGAUUCCUUCACUAGGAAUGCUGAAAGACUGGUCUGCUCCAAGGUUUCUCUCACAGAAGAACUGUUCAGCUUCACAACAGGAGUGAGAAAAGUUUAAAUGCUUUGGGGCUCACUCCCAGGCACAAGACUUUAUUUGAGCUUUUGUUUGGAAAUAAAUUGAGUUCUUGUCAUAGAUUGGGCAUCUUCUCCCGUGGUUCUUACAUAUCAAAAUUUCUCAUCAUUCUGGAAGAAGAUUAAAGUGUUAGUUCUCUUUCUUUUAUUGCCACUCAUCUUUGUUUAUUUAUUUUGUAUUCUUGAGAUGUGCUGCAUCUCUGGAGUUUAUAUUUCUACUUUGACCGUAAAAAUGCUGUACAUACAAGUCUAGAAUGCAUCUGAAGAUUAGUCUAAUUUUUCAUGUGACUUUGACUUGAACAUUUUUCUGUUUAUGUUUAUAUUGCUAUUUCAAAUAUGUGCAUUACCUGUAUUCUUUAUGCCUUUUCCCCAUCUAUAACUCAAUAAAAUAAUGUCUCCAUUCUUCAGAA